UGNGUGCUUUCGGAGAUGCAUGCCCUGG
This 28-nucleotide non-coding RNA is filed under the name Mus musculus (house mouse). The record is from RNAcentral. Lineage: Eukaryota; Metazoa; Chordata; Mammalia; Rodentia; Muridae.